UCCACCUUCUACAUAUUAGCUAAAAGAAAGAACACCUUUUUUCUCCGAGGCUCAAAUCAAGGUUCUAAGGAUAAGGAUUUAAAGGUAGGCUUGAAAGGCUCAAACGGUUCAAAGAAGGCCCAAAUCAUAUCCCAAAUCACUCAUUACCCAACACUUCGUUUCAUAAAUGUCCUAAGGUGAGAUUUAAAACCGAACAAAGCAUGAUUGAGCACAAAUAAAUUCCAAAUUUAAAAUGCAAAACAUUCAACCAAAGCAACGCACAAGGUGUGAUUCCUAGCAAUAAUUCACUUCUACGUUCCGUUGAAUCGAAAGCUAGACAAAUACAUACUCCUUAUCAACAUAAAACAAGUAGUUUCAUCAUCAAACAUUGACCAUCUACCAUCAUCGUAAUUCAUCGAUGCAUCGAACAAUUUUUUUUUUUUUUUUUUUUUUUUUUUUUUUUUGGUUUUUUU
This 452-nucleotide long non-coding RNA is filed under the name Erythranthe guttata (spotted monkey flower). Its description in RNAcentral is "long non-coding RNA (EGUT_LNC003535)". The record is from RNAcentral. Lineage: Eukaryota; Viridiplantae; Streptophyta; Magnoliopsida; Lamiales; Phrymaceae.